RNAcentral lists this transfer RNA (81 nucleotides) under Felis catus (domestic cat). It matches the Rfam family "tRNA". Rfam says of the family: Transfer RNA (tRNA) molecules are approximately 80 nucleotides in length. Their secondary structure includes four short double-helical elements and three loops (D, anti-codon, and T loops). The record is from Rfam by way of RNAcentral. RNAcentral also lists the same sequence under 2 other names. Lineage: Eukaryota; Metazoa; Chordata; Mammalia; Carnivora; Felidae.
GCCUGGGUGGCUCAGUCGGUUGAGUGUCUGACUUCGGCUCAGGUCAUGAUCUCACUGUGGGUUCGAGCUCUGCAUCAGGCU